RNAcentral lists this ribosomal RNA (497 nucleotides) under uncultured bacterium. Its description in RNAcentral is "partial 16S ribosomal RNA". It matches the Rfam family "Bacterial small subunit ribosomal RNA", at positions 28 to 507 of the family's 1533-position model. The record is from RNAcentral.
GAUGAACGCUGGCGGCGUGCCUAAUACAUGCAAGUCGAGCGAACAGACGAGGAGCUUGCUCCUCUGACGUUAGCGGCGGACGGGUGAGUAACACGUGGAUAACCUACCUAUAAGACUGGGAUAACUUCGGGAAACCGGAGCUAAUACCGGAUAAUAUAUCGAACCGCAUGGUUCAAUAGUGAAAGACGGUUUUGCUGUCACUUAUAGAUGGAUCCGCGCCGCAUUAGCUAGUUGGUAAGGUAACGGCUUACCAAGGCAACGAUGCGUAGCCGACCUGAGAGGGUGAUCGGCCACACUGGAACUGAGACACGGUCCAGACUCCUACGGGAGGCAGCAGUAGGGCAUCUUCCGCAAUGGGCGAAAGCUUGACGGAGCAACGCCGCGUGAGUGAUGAAGGUCUUCGGAUCGUAAAACUCUGUUAUUAGGGAAGAACAAAUGUGUAAGUAACUAUGCACGUCUUGACGGUACCUAAUCAGAAAGCCACGGCUAACUACGUG